UACGUAGGUGGCGAGCGUUGUCCGGAUUUACUGGGUGUAAAGGGCGCGUAGGCGGGAAUGCAAGUCAGAUGUGAAAUCCAUGGGCUUAACCCAUGAACUGCAUUUGAAACUGUAUUUCUUGAGUGUCGGAGAGGUAGACGGAAUUCCUAGUGUAGCGGUGAAAUGCGUAGAUAUCAGGAGGAACACCGGCGGCGAAGGCGGCUUACUGGACUGUAACUGACGUUGAGGCUCGAAGGCGUGGGGAGCAAACAGG
Molecule: ribosomal RNA, 253 nt
Filed under: uncultured Oscillospiraceae bacterium
Lineage: Bacteria; Bacillati; Bacillota; Clostridia; Eubacteriales; Oscillospiraceae
Description: partial 16S ribosomal RNA
Rfam family: Bacterial small subunit ribosomal RNA
Source: RNAcentral